GAUCAAGUGAAUAAGCGCAUACGGUGGAUGCCUUGGCGAUAACAGGCGAUGAAGGACGUGGUAGUCUGCGAUAAGCCCCGGGGAGCUGACAAACAAGCUUUGAUCCGAGGAUUUCCGAAUGGGGAAACCCACCCGCAAGGGUAUCGGUACCUGAAUACAUAGGGUAUCCGAAGCGAACCUGGUGAACUGAAACAUCUAAGUAGCCAGAGGAAAAGAAAUCAACCGAGAUUCCGUUAGUAGUGGCGAGCGAACGCGGAGCAGCCCAGUCACAUCAAAUCGGCGUCUUUUAGUGGAACGGUCUGGAAAGUCCGGCGAUACAGGGUGAUAGCCCCGUACACGAAAAGAGGCGUCGGUGGGUGACGAAGAGUAGGGCGGGACACGUGGAAUCCUGUCUGAAUAUGGGGGGACCAUCCUCCAAGGCUAAAUACUCGUUAUCGACCGAUAGUGAACCAGUACCGUGAGGGAAAGGCGAAAAGAACCCCGGAGAGGGGAGUGAAAUAGAUCCUGAAACCGUAUGUGUACAAGCAGUGGAAGUCCCGUGCCUCAUGCACUCCUUCAUGGAGUCCAUGAGGCACGGGACGACUGCGUACCUUUUGUAUAAUGGGUCAGCGAGUUACUUUUCGUGGCAAGCCUAACCGUUUAGGGGAGGCGUAGGGAAACCGAGUCUGAAUAGGGCGAAUGAGUCGCGGGAAGUAGACCCGAAACCGGACGAUCUAUCCAUGGCCAGGUUGAAGGCGGGGUAACACCCGCUGGAGGACCGAACCAACCAAUGUUGAAAAAUUGGUGGAUGAGCUGUGGAUAGGAGUGAAAGGCUAAUCAAGUCCGGAGAUAGCUGGUUCUCCCCGAAAGCUAUUUAGGUAGCGCCUCGUGUAUCACCAUUGGGGGUAGAGCACUGUUACGGCUAGGGGUCCAUCCCGGAUUACCAAACCGUUGCAAACUCCGAAUACCAAUGAGUGCAGCACGGGAGACACACGGCGGGUGCUAACGUCCGUCGUGAAGAGGGAUGAAAACCCAGACCGCCAGCUAAGGUCCCCAAAUUACAGCUUAGUGGGAAACGAUGUGGGAAGGCUUAGACAGCCAGGAUGUUGGCUUAGAAGCAGCCAUCAUUUAAAGAAAGCGUAAUAGCUCACUGGUCGAGUCAGCCCGCGCGGAAGAUUUAACGGGGCUCAAGCUGUAUACCGAAGCUGCGGAUGUGCCUGUCCUCGGACAGGCACGUGGUAGGGGAGCGUUCUGUAAGCCUGCGAAGGUGACUCGGAAGGGUUGCUGGAGGUAUCAGAAGUGCGAAUGCUGACAUGAGUAGCGAUAAUGCGGGUGAAAAACCCGCACGCCGAAAGCCCAAGGUUUCCUGCGCAACGUUAAUCGGCGCAGGGUGAGUCGGCCCCUAAGGCGAGGUCGAAAGACGUAGUCGAUGGGAAACAGGUUAAUAUUCCUGUACCGGACGUUACUGCUAUGGGGGGACGGAGAAGGCUAGGCCGGCCGGGUGUUGGAUGUCCCGGUUUAAGCGUGUAGGUAGAUCCACUAGGCAAAUCCGGUGGGUUAUUACUGAGGCGUUAUGACGAGGUCCUUAAGUGGACCGAAGUGGUUGAUGCCAUGCUUCCAGGAAAAUCCUCUAUGCUUCAGGUAACGAACGACCGUACCCCAAACCGACACAGGUGGGCAGGGUGAGAAUCCCAAGGCGCUUGAGAGAACUCGGGUUAAGGAACUCGGCAAAUUGACACCGUAACUUCGGAAGAAGGUGUGCCUCCGGUAGGUGAAGGGCCUGCGCCCGGAGCCGAUGGAGGUCGCAGAGAAACGGUAGCUGCAACUGUUUAAUAAAAACACAGCACUCUGCAAACGCGUAAGCGGACGUAUAGGGUGUGACGCCUGCCCGGUGCUGGAAGGUUAAGUGAUGGGGUCAGCCGCAAGGCGAAGCUCUUGAUCGAAGCCCCAGUAAACGGCGGCCGUAACUAUAACGGUCCUAAGGUAGCGAAAUUCCUUGUCGGGUAAGUUCCGACCUGCACGAAUGGCGUAAUGAUGGCUACACUGUCUCGACCCGAGACUCAGCGAAGUUGAAUUUGCUGUGAAGAUGCAGCAUACCCGCCGCAAGACGGAAAGACCCCGUGCACCUUUACUAUAGCUUCACACUGGACUUUGAACAUGUCUGUGUAGGAUAGGUGGGAGGCAACGAAGUGGGGACGCUAGUCCUCAUGGAGCCAACCGUGAAAUACCACCCUGACCUGUUUGAGGUUCUAACCGUGGUCCGUCAUCCGGAUCCGGGACCGUGUGUGGUGGGUAGUUUGACUGGGGCGGUCUCCUCCCAAAGAGUAACGGAGGAGCGCGAAGGUACCCUCAGCGCGGUCGGAAAUCGCGCUUCGAGUGCAAUGGCAUAAGGGUGCUUAACUGCGAGACAGACACGUCGAGCAGGUGCGAAAGCAGGUCAUAGUGAUCCGGUGGUUCUGUAUGGAAGGGCCAUCGCUCAACGGAUAAAAGGUACGCCGGGGAUAACAGGCUUAUACCGCCCAAGAGUUCAUAUCGACGGCGGUGUUUGGCACCUCGAUGUCGGCUCAUCACAUCCUGGGGCUGUAGCCGGUCCCAAGGGUAUGGCUGUUCGCCAUUUAAAGUGGUACGCGAGCUGGGUUUAGAACGUCGUGAGACAGUUUGGUCCCUAUCUGCGGUGGGCGUUGGAGAUUUGAGAGGAUCUGUCCUUAGUACGAGAGGACCGGGAUGGACGUACCUCUGGUGUGCCGGUUGUCAUGCCAAUGGCAUUGCCGGGUAGCUAUGUACGGAUGGGAUAACCGCUGAAAGCAUCUAAGCGGGAAACCCACCUCAAGAUGAGAUCUCCCUGAGAGUGUAACUCUCCUAAAGGUUCGUCGAAGACUACGACGUUGAUAGGCGGGGUGUGUAAGUCCAGUAAUGGAUUGAGCUAACCCGUACUAAUUGACCGUGCGACUUGAUCAU
Non-coding RNA from Acidiferrobacter thiooxydans, 2937 nucleotides. Lineage: Bacteria; Pseudomonadati; Pseudomonadota; Gammaproteobacteria; Acidiferrobacterales; Acidiferrobacteraceae. The record is from Rfam.